This is a non-coding RNA of Russula earlei, 87 nucleotides long. The record is from the annotation of a GenBank genome assembly. Lineage: Eukaryota; Fungi; Basidiomycota; Agaricomycetes; Russulales; Russulaceae.
GCACUGUUGGGGUAGUGGUAACCUGGAUCGUUGCCAAAGCGACACGCUCCACUCGAUCCGCCCCGGGUUCAAUUCCCGGACAGUGCA